CUACGGAGGGUGCAAGCGUUAUUCGGAAUCACUGGGCGUAAAGGACGCGUAGGCGGGUUGGCAAGUCAGAUGUGAAAUCCUACAGCUUAACUGUAGAACUGCAUUUGAAACUGCUAACCUAGAGUAUGGGAGGGGGAGAUGGAAUUAGUGGUGCAGGGGUAAAAUCCGUAGAUAUCACUAGGAAUACCGAAAGCGAAGGCGAUCUCCUGGAACAUAACUGACGCUAAGGCGUGAAAGCGUGGGGAGCAAACAGGAUUAGAUACCCUAGUAGUCC
RNAcentral lists this ribosomal RNA (274 nucleotides) under uncultured bacterium. Its description in RNAcentral is "partial 16S ribosomal RNA". It matches the Rfam family "Bacterial small subunit ribosomal RNA", at positions 523 to 796 of the family's 1533-position model. The record is from RNAcentral.